Molecule: long non-coding RNA, 1298 nt
Organism: Marmota monax (woodchuck)
Lineage: Eukaryota; Metazoa; Chordata; Mammalia; Rodentia; Sciuridae
Exons: 3
Source: RefSeq, a predicted model, not a curated record
GGUCUCUUGUGUAAACCUUGCUACCCUGUCAGGUGGCUAGAGGUAGGAGCCGGAGAAGCCGUCUCUUAGCUGGGCAAGAAAAAGUUUUGUGAAGAAAGAACUGCUUACCAUUAAAAGACUAUUGCCUGUCCAUUACCUAUGCUGGGCACUUUAAAAACGAGGCACAGUCUGGAGAGGAGACACUGUGGGGAAUAGCCGAUUCUGUGUGCCUGGAGACAAUAAGAAAAUGGGACAUCAGCAUAUGGAUGAUUCCUGAAUCCAACUUCAGUUGAUAGUUCUUACUCGAGCCCUUAAUAGAAGAGAGUAAGGGUGACUGAUAGAAGGUAACCUCCUGUUCCAUUUCACCAUAUGGUGGAAGAUCUUGAGAUAUUAAAAAGUCCCAAAGGUGGGCAGAUACAGGAUGAGAGAUCUGAAUAGACAGAGAGAACAAGUAGCUUCCAUGUUAUCACUGUGAGCAGCAACCUCUGAGGUGCUGGUUCAGCCUCCAAGAGAACUGACUUAGCAGAAAACUCUGUACAAACCCUGCCCCUGAAUUGCAUGCUUCAGAAGGCAGGGGUGUAUGUUAUCCAUACCACCCUGCACAUUCACUGACAUGUGGUAGGUACUCAAAAGACACCCAAGUUAGUUUCACAGAAGGAAAAAACAGGAAAGGAGGAAAGAAGGACUGAGACAUAUUUAUCAGUUUAUGUAUUGAAUUUUGCUGCUUCCUAUUGAUGGAGCAGCAUGGUGACCUCUAUUUUUAAUUUCAGAAAGCUGCUGGCAUUUAUUGAACAUUACAGUCUACUCUUGACUGAUCCUUUAUCAACAUAUGCCCUAGUCACCCAUUGAGGUCUGAAUUGGCAGUUACUCAGUGUGCCCCAAGUAUAACUUUGUGACCACAGGAGCCAGUGUUUUCUGUAAUUAUGCUCCUGGGCUGUGAAAUCUGUUCCCUGUUGAGAUUAAGAGAGGAGCAUCUGUUGCAGAAAUUGGGUUAAAGUGAAGGAGGUUCGCGUAUUUGCCGACACCUUUAAUCUUUACUAUUGCUGUCAUUUCAUUUUCAUUUUAUUUUAUUUAUUGCAGCACCGUAAAAUAAAAUGGCAGUAAUUACACCCACACUUACAUUAUUUUACCAAGUGCCAGACAUUGUUUAGUCCUUAUGUAAGUUUUAUCAGAAGUACUAAAAUUGUCUUUAUUUUACAGAUGAAAAAAUUUGAUGUGCACAGAGGUUAAGUAACUUUACCACUACUAUUCAUUAACAGAACCAGAAUGCAGUCCAAAUCAUCUUCCCCCACCAUGAUUAUAAAUGCAUUUCAACUAUA